CCUACGGGUGGCAGCAGUAGGGAAUCUUUCACAAUGGGCGAUAGCCUGAUGGAGCAACGCCGCGUGCAGGAUGCAGGCCUUCGGGUUGUAAACUGCUUUUAUAAGCGAGAAAUAUGAUGGUAACUUAUGAAUAAGGAUCGGCUAACUACGUGCCAGCAGCCGCGGUCAUACGUAGGAUCCGAGCAUUAUCCGGAGUGACUGGGUGUAAAGAGUUGCGUAGGUGGAAUAAUAAGUAGCUAGUGAAAUCUGGUGGCUCAACCAUUCAGACUAUUAGCUAAACUGUUAAGCUCGAGACCGUUAGGGGUAACUGGAAUUUCUAGUGUAGGAGUGAAAUCCGUAGAUAUUAGAAGGAACACCAAUAGCGUAGGCAGGUUGCUGGGACGGUUCUGACACUAAGGCACGAAAGCGUAGGGAGCAAACGGGAUUAGAUACCCUAGUAGUC
This 442-nucleotide ribosomal RNA is filed under the name uncultured bacterium. RNAcentral describes it as "partial 16S ribosomal RNA". It matches the Rfam family "Bacterial small subunit ribosomal RNA", at positions 338 to 795 of the family's 1533-position model. The record is from RNAcentral.